UACGUAGGGUGCAAGCGUUGUUCGGAAUUACUGGGCGUAAAGAGAGCGUAGGUGGGAUUAUAAGUUAGGAGUUUAAUCUACGGGCUUAACCCGUAGUCGGCUCUUAAUACUGUAGUUCUUGAGUAUGGGAGAGGGUGAUGGAAUUCCAGGUGUAGCGGUGGAAUGCGUAGAUAUCUGGAAGAACACCAGUAGCGAAGGCGGUCGCCUGGCCCAAUACUGACACUGAGGCUCGAAAGCUAGGGGAGCAAACAGG
Molecule: ribosomal RNA, 253 nt
Filed under: uncultured bacterium
Lineage: Bacteria
Description: partial 16S ribosomal RNA
Rfam family: Bacterial small subunit ribosomal RNA
Source: RNAcentral